RNAcentral lists this ribosomal RNA (143 nucleotides) under Vibrio parahaemolyticus. Its description in RNAcentral is "partial 23S ribosomal RNA". It matches the Rfam family "Bacterial large subunit ribosomal RNA", at positions 1 to 142 of the family's 2925-position model. Lineage: Bacteria; Pseudomonadati; Pseudomonadota; Gammaproteobacteria; Vibrionales; Vibrionaceae. The record is from RNAcentral.
GGUUAAGUGACUAAGCGUACACGGUGGAUGCCUUGGCAGUCAGAGGCGAUGAAGGACGUAGUAACUUGCGAUAAGCCCAGAUUAGGUAGUAACAACCAUUUGAGUCUGGGAUUUCCGAAUGGGGAAACCCACUUACAUAAGUA